UAAUACGGAGGAUCCGAGCGUUAUCCGGAUUUAUUGGGUUUAAAGGGUGCGUAGGCGGCCUAUUAAGUCAGGGGUGAAAUACGGUGGCUCAACCAUCGCAGUGCCUUUGAUACUGAUGGGCUUGAAUCCAUUUGAAGUGGGCGGAAUAAGACAAGUAGCGGUGAAAUGCAUAGAUAUGUCUUAGAACUCCGAUUGCGAAGGCAGCUCACUAAGCUGGUAUUGACGCUGAUGCACGAAAGCGUGGGGAUCGAACAGGAUUAGAUACCCUGGUAGUCCACGCCCUAAACGAUGAUAACUCGAUGUUGGCGAUAGACAGCCAGCGUCCCAGCGAAAGCGUUAAGUUAUCCACCUGGGGAGUACGCCCGCAAGGGUGAAACUUAAAUGAAUUGACGG
RNAcentral lists this ribosomal RNA (393 nucleotides) under uncultured bacterium. RNAcentral's name for it is "bacterial SSU rRNA". It matches the Rfam family "Bacterial small subunit ribosomal RNA", at positions 521 to 916 of the family's 1533-position model. The record is from RNAcentral.